This 469-nucleotide long non-coding RNA is filed under the name Homo sapiens (human). RNAcentral's name for it is "HSALNT0176094". Lineage: Eukaryota; Metazoa; Chordata; Mammalia; Primates; Hominidae. The record is from RNAcentral.
GUCGCCUUCCACUUUGGGCAGAGAAAUGUCCAUGUCGCCCUUCACCUUUGGACCUUUCAGAUUCAGGUCAACUUCAGGCAUAGAGAUCUUCGGUGCCUUGAGGUGUAAGUCAGGCAUUUUAAAUUUGGGGCCCUUCAGUUUCCCUUCUGGACCAUGAAUAUCAAUAUCAGGAGUGUCAAUGUCCACUUUGGGUCCUGAGACAUCAAUGUCAGCUUUGGGCAAAUUAACAUCCACUUCUGGGCCCUCUCCUUUAAAUCCUGGCAUGCUGAAUUUGGGCAUUUUCACCUUGGGCAUCUUCAGGUGCCAGUCUGGGCCAUGAACAUCCACAUCUGGGGCAUCAAUGUCCACUUUGGGCAUUUUCACCUUGGGCAUCUUCAGGUGCCAAUCUGGGCCAUGAACAUCCACAUCUGGAGCACUAAUGUCAACUUUGGGCCCUUUAAUGUCAACAUCUGGCACUUUCAUUUCACCU